This 309-nucleotide ribosomal RNA is filed under the name Triticum aestivum (bread wheat). RNAcentral describes it as "partial small subunit ribosomal RNA". Lineage: Eukaryota; Viridiplantae; Streptophyta; Magnoliopsida; Poales; Poaceae. The record is from RNAcentral.
AUGCUUGUAGAUCAUGAAAAGAAUGCUUUAUGUGAUGGUUAUAUUGUUGAAUUCAUUCAUGAUGCUACUGAAAAUUAUUAUGAGAGAGGAAUAUGUGCUUGUAGGAAUUGCAAUAAUAACAAGUUUCCUCUCUAUGUGCUUAAAGUUUUGAAGUUAUGCUUGUUUAGCCUUCCUAUGCUAGUUGAUUAUUGUUCCCAUAAAUUGUUUGCUCACAAAAUCCAUAUGCAUAGGAAGUGGGCUCGACUUAAAUUUGCUAGUCAUAUUCUUCAUGAUGCUCUCUUUAUGUUUCAAUUCUUAUCUUUUAUGUGA